AUGUGGGGCCUCCCUCUGGCCCCCUCCCCGGCGCCACCUCGUCUGGCUUCCUACGUGCACUCGGGAGGGAUGCCCAACCCCUCCUUCUGCCUUGCACCCCCCCAUGCCGCAGCACACCCGGCGCCCCUCACUCCUGUCCAAACCUCCUCGCCACUAGGCAACCUCCCCGCCGAGCCCCUAGUGCAGACGUUCCCUCCGGCCCUCUCCCGGGUCCCCGUCGCCAGAGCUUCUCUUUGCAAGGCUGACUCUUUCCCUGCCUCUCUGCACCGCGCCCCCCCCUACCCCGCCCCCGCUAGCUCGGCGGCCUCGGGCUGUAGCGGAUGGGCGGGCGGGCGUCCCGCUUACCUGGGCUGGGCGCAGUGCGCUUUCAGCGUCCCCAGAAUCUGAACAGAGCCGGCUGGCCUGGGUGGGGCUUUUAUAGUCACCACAUCCUCGCGGUGCACUAGAGGCCCGCCCCGCCCCGCCUUCCCUUGCCCCUUCCCCUGCUAGCACCCGGACUUGGGGGUGACUCACCCUUCCCGCCCCGCGCGCCCGCCAGGGCCGCCUCGCCCUGGAACAUUCCCUGGGCCGCGCCAGUGGGAGUGGCCCCGCGCCCACUGCCGUACCCUCCGGUAAAGCGCUGCUGAGACUUCCCCGAGGCCUAUUAGCGGCCUCUUUUUCCUCUUUCUCUGCUUCUCCAGCGCCACGUCGAGUUCUCAGCCCUGCCUCAGGUUCAUAUCAGUACAGUUGCAAGACUUUAGUCGACUAUGAGGUUGGUUAAGUCAUUUUAUUUUUAAGGCUUUCGAUGCAAUGGAAGGAAGAAUAGUUCCAAGAAACAUAAAUCGUGAUUCCCCUGAGCUGGGCCGUUGGCAUCCAGCCCCCGGUUACCGUCUGCAAACAUAUUAGCUUAACCUCUGACCGGCCAUUCCCGGGAGGAGCGCUGGGACGGGGGAGUUCCGCAGUGUCCUGGCUGGCAAAGGAUUCCUCCGCCUUGGGGCGCGUUGGUACACAGGAAGCCACUGUGGCUGUUGGUUAGGGGGUGGGAGGCCGAAGCCAGGAGCAAGAUCCCACCCUCCAGCCCGGGGAGGCGCCCUUUUCCCAAACCUCCCGAGACGCCGGGCCUCCCGCGUGUCGGGCAGCUGUGCAUGUCCUCCUGGCAGGCAGUCCCAGGCUGGGUGGGACCAGUGGCUUUGAACCUUGAGUUCCAACAAAGAAGUUCCUCCCUUCCGUCUUUCCUAACUGGCUUUUUUUUUUUUUCCCUCUCAACCUCAGCUUGCUGGCUUGGUUUUGCUAUUUCUCGCUUGUUUGUUUGUUUGUUUGUUUUCAUUCUCUGCUUCUAUGAACCACCGUGGCAGUAAGCACGCAAAUGUGAUUUUGUGUGUGAUUGUGAAAAUACUGUACUCACACCUCAAAGUAGCCGGAAAGUUNNNNNNNNNNNNNNNNNUCUGCACCUCUGACUUCUUUCCUUUCACACACGUCACGUAGCUCUUUCACCUGAUGCUUCUAUCGAGUUUUAAUCUCCUGUCUCGCUUAACGUCUGUUUUUACUUUCUAGUUGAGCGUCAUUUCAUUCCUGGGAAUUAAGAAAUGGCGAGGCCAAGAAAUCAUUGCCAAGCUCACAGUCAAGUCCAGACCACAAAUGGGGUCUCUAACCACUCAGCCCAGAGCUCACUGUUACCCGUUUCUUCCACUCAUAAUGAAACAUGAUAGACACCGUCAGAAGGACAAAUAGAAAAUAAAGCAAUUCUGUUGAUACAAUCUCUGAUUUACAUUUGUGUUCAGUUGCUAAGUCGUGUCUGCCUCUUUACCACCCCACCAACUGUAGUCCACCAGGCUCCUCUGUUAAUGGGAUUUUUAGGCAAGAAUACUGGAGUGGGUUGCCAUUUUCUUCUUCAGGGGUUCUUCCCCACCCAAAGAUCAAACCUGCCUCUCCUUAAUUGGCAGGCGGACUCUUUACCACUGAGCCAUCAGGGAAGCCCAUUUACCUUUCAGUUCAGCUCAGUUCAGUCCCUCAGUCGUGUCCGACUCUUUGCUACCCCAUGAAUCGCAGCAUGCCAGGC
Molecule: long non-coding RNA, 2038 nt
Filed under: Capra hircus (goat)
Lineage: Eukaryota; Metazoa; Chordata; Mammalia; Artiodactyla; Bovidae
Description: lncRNA (ENSCHIG00010010254.1)
Source: RNAcentral